Non-coding RNA from Ciona intestinalis (vase tunicate), 268 nucleotides. The record is from RefSeq and is a predicted model, not a curated record. NCBI's taxonomy places the organism in Eukaryota, Metazoa, Chordata, Ascidiacea, Phlebobranchia, Cionidae.
ACAAAAUCUUUUGAAAUACGGAUCAACCAAGUGGUUGGGGGAAGAUGGUUCUUGGGUUGAGAUGUUUCAGAUUCUGAAUACAAAAUUAAAGUGGAUCAUCUCUUGCCCCAUCCUUUCAAGGUUCAAGACCUUUAAAAUUGACUCAUCCUAAAUUUAAGCACUUCUGGACAAAAUAACAGGUUUUUUACUAAGAUGUCAUCUUCAAGUCCCUCAUGCUCUAGGUCUAGCCCACCAUAUUUUCCAAUGAGAUUUGGAAACUGAUUUUCCG